This 1408-nucleotide ribosomal RNA is filed under the name Enterococcus durans. RNAcentral describes it as "bacterial SSU rRNA". It matches the Rfam family "Bacterial small subunit ribosomal RNA". The record is from RNAcentral. Lineage: Bacteria; Bacillati; Bacillota; Bacilli; Lactobacillales; Enterococcaceae.
CUUCUUUUUCCACCGGAGCUUGCUCCACCGGAAAAAGAAGAGUGGCGAACGGGUGAGUAACACGUGGGUAACCUGCCCAUCAGAAGGGGAUAACACUUGGAAACAGGUGCUAAUACCGUAUAACAAUCGAAACCGCAUGGUUUUGAUUUGAAAGGCGCUUUCGGGUGUCGCUGAUGGAUGGACCCGCGGUGCAUUAGCUAGUUGGUGAGGUAACGGCUCACCAAGGCCACGAUGCAUAGCCGACCUGAGAGGGUGAUCGGCCACAUUGGGACUGAGACACGGCCCAAACUCCUACGGGAGGCAGCAGUAGGGAAUCUUCGGCAAUGGACGAAAGUCUGACCGAGCAACGCCGCGUGAGUGAAGAAGGUUUUCGGAUCGUAAAACUCUCAUCCCUUGACGGUAUCUAACCAGAAAGCCACGGCUAACUACGUGCCAGCAGCCGCGGUAAUACGUAGGUGGCAAGCGUUGUCCGGAUUUAUUGGGCGUAAAGCGAGCGCAGGCGGUUUCUUAAGUCUGAUGUGAAAGCCCCCGGCUCAACCGGGGAGGGUCAUUGGAAACUGGGAGACUUGAGUGCAGAAGAGGAGAGUGGAAUUCCAUGUGUAGCGGUGAAAUGCGUAGAUAUAUGGAGGAACACCAGUGGCGAAGGCGGCUCUCUGGUCUGUAACUGACGCUGAGGCUCGAAAGCGUGGGGAGCAAACAGGAUUAGAUACCCUGGUAGUCCACGCCGUAAACGAUGAGUGCUAAGUGUUGGAGGGUUUCCGCCCUUCAGUGCUGCAGCUAACGCAUUAAGCACUCCGCCUGGGGAGUACGACCGCAAGGUUGAAACUCAAAGGAAUUGACGGGGGCCCGCACAAGCGGUGGAGCAUGUGGUUUAAUUCGAAGCAACGCGAAGAACCUUACCAGGUCUUGACAUCCUUUGACCACUCUAGAGAUAGAGCUUCCCCUUCGGGGGCAAAGUGACAGGUGGUGCAUGGUUGUCGUCAGCUCGUGUCGUGAGAUGUUGGGUUAAGUCCCGCAACGAGCGCAACCCUUAUUGUUAGUUGCCAUCAUUYAGUUGGGCACUCUAGCAAGACUGCCGGUGACAAACCGGAGGAAGGUGGGGAUGACGUCAAAUCAUCAUGCCCCUUAUGACCUGGGCUACACGGGGGCUACAAUGGGAAGUACAACGAGUCGCGAAGUCGCGAGGCUAAGCUAAUCUCUUAAAGCUUCUCUCAGUUCGGAUUGUAGGCUGCAACUCGCCUACAUGAAGCCGGAAUCGCUAGUAAUCGCGGAUCAGCACGCCGCGGUGAAUACGGGGGGGGGGGGUACACACCGCCCGUCACACCACGAGAGUUUGUAACACCCGAAGUCGGUGAGGUAACCUUUUGGAGCCAGCCGCCUAAGGUGGGAUGGGGGGGGGGGGGGGGGG